UACGAGGUGGUAGGGAACGUAGAAAAGGACCGACCCUUCGGGAGCCGUGAACAGGUGCUGCAUGGCUGUCGUCAGCUCGUGUCGUGAGAUGUCCGGUUAAGUCCGGUAACGAGCGCAACCCUUGCCGUAUGUUACAAGUGUCAUACGGGACUGCCGGUAUCAAGCCGGAGGAAGGUGGGAUGACGUCAAGUCAGCAUGGCCUUUAUAUCCGGGGCUACACACACGCUACAAUGGUCAGUACAACAGGUUGCAAAGCCGCGAGGUGGAGCCAAUCCAUAAAGCUGGCCUCAGUUCAGAUUGCAGGCUGCAACUCGCCUGCAUGAAGUUGGAGUUGCUAGUAACCGCGCGUCAGCUAUACUGCGUUGAAUACGUUCCCGGGGUUU
RNAcentral lists this ribosomal RNA (383 nucleotides) under uncultured Anaerolineaceae bacterium. RNAcentral's name for it is "bacterial SSU rRNA". It matches the Rfam family "Bacterial small subunit ribosomal RNA", at positions 983 to 1382 of the family's 1533-position model. Lineage: Bacteria; Bacillati; Chloroflexota; Anaerolineae; Anaerolineales; Anaerolineaceae. The record is from RNAcentral.